This 384-nucleotide ribosomal RNA is filed under the name uncultured bacterium. Its description in RNAcentral is "bacterial SSU rRNA". It matches the Rfam family "Bacterial small subunit ribosomal RNA", at positions 28 to 408 of the family's 1533-position model. The record is from RNAcentral.
GAUGAACGCUAGCGGCAGGCUUAACACAUGCAAGUCGAGGGGUAGAAGGAGCUUGCUCCUUUGAGACCGGCGCACGGGUGCGUAACGCGUAUGCAAUCUACCUUUUGCAGAGGGAUAGCCCAGAGAAAUUUGGAUUAAUACCUCAUAGUAUGUGAGGAUGGCAUCAUUUUCACAUUAAAGUCACAACGGCAAAAGAUGAGCAUGCGUCCCAUUAGCUAGUUGGUAAGGUAACGGCUUACCAAGGCUACGAUGGGUAGGGGUCCUGAGAGGGAGAUCCCCCACACUGGUACUGAGACACGGACCAGACUCCUACGGGAGGCAGCAGUGAGGAAUAUUGGGACAAAUGGGCGCGAAGCCUCGAUCCAGCCACUGCCGCGUGCAGGA